RNAcentral lists this ribosomal RNA (498 nucleotides) under uncultured bacterium. RNAcentral's name for it is "partial 16S ribosomal RNA". It matches the Rfam family "Bacterial small subunit ribosomal RNA", at positions 29 to 523 of the family's 1533-position model. The record is from RNAcentral.
AUUGAACGCUGGCGGCAUGCUUUACACAUGCAAGUCGAACGGUAACAGGCCGCAAGGUGCUGACGAGUGGCGAACGGGUGAGUAAUGCAUCGGAACGUGCCCAGCCGUGGGGGAUAACGCACCGAAAGCUGUGCUAAUACCGCAUACGAUCUAGGGAUGAAAGCGGGGGCCCGUAAGGCCCACCGCGAUGGGGACGGCCGAUGUCAGAUUAGGUAGUUGGUGGGGUAAAGGCUCACCAAGCCAACGAUCUGUAGCUGGUCUGAGAGGACGACCAGCCACACUGGGACUGAGACACGGCCCAGACUCCUACGGGAGGCAGCAGUGGGGAAUUUUGGACAAUGGGCGCAAGCCUGAUCCAGCAAUGCCGCGUGCAGGAAGAAGGCCUUCGGGUUGUAAACUGCUUUUGUACGGAACGAAAAGGUUUGGGUUAAUACCCUGGGCCGAUGACGGUACCGUAAGAAUAAGCACCGGCUAACUACGUGCCAGCCGCCGCCGUAA